GUAGGGAAUAUUGGGCAAUGGAUGCAAGUCUGACCCAGCCAUGCCGCGUGCAGGAAGAAGGUCCUCUGGAUUGUAAACUGCUUUUUUGGGGGAAGAAUAGUUUUCUUGCGAGGAAAUGUGACGGUACCCUAAGAAUAAGCCACGGCUAACUACGUGCCAGCAGCCGCGGUAAUACGUAGGUGGCAAGCGUUGUCCGGAUUUAUUGGGUUUAAAGGGUGCGUAGGUGGUUUGAUAAGUCAGUGGUGAAAGCCGGUUGCUCGACAAUCGAGUUGCCAUUGAUACUGUCGGACUUGAGAGAAGUGGAGGUUCAUGGAAUGGAUGGUGUAGCGGUGAAAUGCAUAGAUAUCAUCCAGAACGUCGAUUGCGAAGGCAGUGGGCUGUACUUUAUCUGACACUGAGGCACGAAAGUGUGGGGAUCAAACAGGAUUAGAUACCCUAGUAGUCC
This 445-nucleotide ribosomal RNA is filed under the name uncultured bacterium. RNAcentral describes it as "partial 16S ribosomal RNA". It matches the Rfam family "Bacterial small subunit ribosomal RNA", at positions 354 to 796 of the family's 1533-position model. The record is from RNAcentral.